UUCAAGUAAGAAUAUUUUUUGGAAACUAAAAAGAGUGUACAAAGUAAAACUUAAUCUUUUAAAAUUAGUAUAUGAGUGUACAAGGUAAUAGAGUGUUUAAAAUAAUGUUUAGAGUGCUAAUAGUCCCACCUUUUUUUAAUGGACCAAUGGUAAUCAACCUAAUUCCUAUAGUAGCAGGAGGAUGAUUAAAUGCAUGUUUGGUAUUGCAUAUCUAAUGACCAUAACAAUUUAUUUAAUCUCAAAAGCUUUUUUUUUUAAUUUUUUUGUUGCUGCUGCUUAUAUUUUAAGUAGAUUUUUUGGGGAUUAAAUAGGUUAUUUGACCUCUGUUGGGAUUAUGUGCUCUUUUAAAGCAUAUUAAUUUAUUUUCUAAUUAAUAUAAUAUUUGAUAUAUUUUCAAUUGGAUAAAUAUAUUGAAAAAUGUCUGUUUAAUCAUAUUAUAUGUAUUUAUGUGAUCAUCAUAUGGAUUCACAGAAGACAUAAAUACAAGUUAUCUUAUGAUUAAAUAAAUUAAGUUCGCAGUUGAGAAAUAGAGUUGGAUGCUCUAUUUAUAUUUAGACUGUAGUAAAUUCAUUGAAUGAUUUGUCUUAAUCAUGUAUGAAUUUACUGAUGUAGUUUGACUAAAUUGAGCUGGAUCACAUAUGAGAUUUAAUUAAUCUUAAAAUGACUGUCAGACUUAUUAAAUCUCAUAGGCAUUGAUUUUACUGUAAUCUUAAUCUUGAGUUAGUUAUAAUUUCAUGAUUGUAAUUGUUAUUCCAUUUGAGUUACCAAUGGGCACGACACACACUUGUAGUCAAGAUUACCCGGUAUCUUGGUGGGAGCAAUUAUGAAUAUUGGAGUUAUAGAUUAACAAUAUAGAAUUUGUACAACACAUCUCUUGAUGGGUUUUCGGCCCUUGAUCAUAGAAUUCUCUGGCCAGAGUGUGUCAACAUAUUUAUUAUGUUGAAAAUGAUCAUUAAAGAAAACCAGUAAGUAUCAAGGAAUAAGAUGUAAUUAAAUCGAUUGGACAGUUGAGAUAUCGAUUUAAUUGACGAUGUGAUACAAAGGAUUAUGCAGUAAAAUGUUAUGCCAAGAACCAGUAAAGUAUUGUUAAUGGCUCACCAAGAUCCACUCUAUUAAGGUUCUUGAAUCUAAAAUGAUAGAUUACCAACCUACAAUCUAAAGCAAUGUUUAACGACCUAAACAACCAAGUCAAAUCAAAGAAUGAAUCUAAGAACAGAAAGACAACACAGAGAAAGCUUAUAGUGGUUCGGCCAUGGAAGCCUACAUCCACUGUGGAAAAAGAACCCAAGCUUUACUUGAAUGAGAGUUUACAGAGCACAAGUUUUCCAGAGAAGAUUACACAAACACCACAUAUCAGUAUUCCAAGAUACCAGGCUAUAUAUACAAGCAAUGCUCAAUCUAGAAGGAUCUCUCAGUCAUCAACAUACUUCCCUUGUGUUCAGUAACAAAGUCUAGUAGCUUCUUGCGCUGGUUAACAACCUUAACAGAACACUGAUCAGCUCCCUGACCACGUGUCUUAAUCUUGUUUGCUCUAAGUGAUGAAACAGCAGCCCAAACUGUCGUUCCGUUUAAGUGAAUCACAUGCGAAGUCACAUGCUUGUCUUGCAAUCACAAAUGACACAAUAUCCUUGUCAUACAGCCUUCUCAGGACUCCAAUCGACAUGUCAUAGUAUUGACGAGUCUUUAACCGACUUGUCGUAAACUAAUUUGCAGUUCAUACUUCAACAUUCUCCACCUUGAACUCAAAAUCAUUCACUCCUUGGGUUCACCCUUCCACUCCUUAUCUGCAGACUAUAUCCUGCAAAUACCAGCUGAGUUCAAGCAGAACUCAAACUUAGCUCCUAGUACAGCAUUGGUAAGCAUGUCAGCAAUGUUGUUGUCAAUGUGUAUUUUAACCAAUUUAACCACACCUUUUGAUACUUCUAAUCUGACAAAGUGAAGCUUCAUAUCAAUAUGCUUGGCCUUCUCAUGGUGUAUUUGAUUCUUACUCAGACAUAUAACACUUUGGCUAUCACAGUGAACUGUAAUUUGCUUUUGUUCAAAUCCCAGCUCUGUCACCAUCCCUCUAAGCCAUAUAGCUUCUUUUAUUGCCUUUCCAGCUGCUGUAUAUUCUGCCUCAGUUGUAGACAGAGCAACAACACUUUUGCAGUGAAGCUUUCCAAUUUAUAGUGCAGCCAUUUAGCAUAAACAAAAAACCUAUUAAAGUCCUUCUUUUAUCUAGAUCUCCAGCAUAAUCUGCAUCCAUAUAGCCUUCCACUCAAACCUCUGCAUGUUUCUCAGCCCCAUAGAUUAAACCAUAAUCAGCUGUACCAGCAAGGUAUCUUAAGAUCCAUACAACAGCCUUCCAAUGUUCUUUUCCUGGGUUUGCCAUAUACCUGCUUACUACACUCACUGCAUGAGAGAGAUCAGGCCUAGUCAGGACCAUUGCAUACAUUAGACAUCCAACAACACUUGAAUAUGGAAACUUAGUCAUUUCAUCCUUUUCUGAAUCAAAGUUUGGACACUGCUGACAGGAUAGUUUGAAAUGAGCUGGUAAUGGUGUCUGCACUGGUUUACAUCUAUCCAUAUGGAAUUUCUCAAGUACUUUCCUGAUGUAUUUGUUCUGUGUUAGGCUUAGGAUACCAUUCUUUCUGUCUCUUAUCAGCUUAACACCAAGGAUCUUCUUUGCAGCACCCAGAUCUUUCAUCUCGAAUGUAUUGCUCAGCUGCUGUUUCAAAUCAUUGAUGUACUUCAUCUUCUUACAAGCUAUUAACAUGUCGUCUACAUAGAGCAGUAAAUAAAUCUUGUCACCACCUUCUAUGGUUUUGAAGUAAACACAAUAGUCAAAACUACUCCUUUGAAACCCAUGUUCUGACAUAAACUUGUCAAAUCUCAGGUACCGUAGUCUUGGAGACCGUUUUAGUCCAUAUAGUGACUUUCUUAGGUGACAUACAUGAUCAGCCUUUUCUUGAUCCUCAUGACCUUCAGGUUGAGUCAUCACUAUCAUCUCAUCUAUUUCACCAUGCAGGAAAGCAGUCUUCACAUCCAUCUACUCUAGAUGCAUGUCUUUUACAGCAACUAGAGAUAACAAGAUCCUCAAGGAAGCAUGUCUCACCACUAGAGAAAAAACUUAUGUAAAGUCAACCCCCUCCUUCUGAGUGAAGCCUUUUGCAACCAACCUGGCUUUGUAUCUUUGUGGUUCAACACCUGGUAUACCCUCCUUAAUCCUAUAAAUCCAUUUGCAUCCAACUACCCUUUUGUUUACUAGUCUUUCAAUGAGAUUCCAAGUGUGAUUUUUUCUCAAGGACAUCAUUUCCUCAUCCAUAGCCUUGAUCCAUCCAUCUGCCUUAUUACUGUUAAUAACUUCUGAGUAUGUUCUAGGUUCAUCUGCUGCAAUUUCAUGUGCUACUGUUAAUGCAAAUGCAAUUAAAUCUGCAUAUGCAUAUCUUCUAGGAGGUCUUAUAACUCUCUUUUCUCUAUCCCUUGUUAACUGAUAAUCAUCACUUCUCUCCUGAUCACUUGUUGUUUCAGUCUUAGUGUCAUGUAUUUCCAUGCCUGUUACUUUUCUAGCUUCUGAUCUUGUUCUCUAUAUCUAGUUUGAGUUUGAUAGCUCCACCUCAAAAUAAGACUUCUCAUCUUUAUCUUCCAGUUCUGCAUUAGUAGUCUUUAAUGAUACUGAUUGUUGAAGCAUCUCAAAAUACUACAUCCCUGCUGAUGAUUGCUUUUGGAGGCUUCAAUUCUAUGCACCAUAGUUUAUACCUUUUUACACCUUCAGGGUAACCAAGAAACACACACCUCAAUGCCCUGGGCUCUAAUUUACCUUAUUUGAUGUGAGCAUAUGCUGGACAACCAAAGAUCUUCAGGCUGGAAUAAUCUGCUAGUUUACCAUACUAUAGUUCAUAUGGUGUUUUGAAGUUAAUUCCAGUUGAAGGGCUUCUGUUCACAAUAUAACAAGUUGUUGAUAGAGCCUCAGCCCAUAAGGACAUGGGUAGCUUAGAGUGAAUAAGCAUGCACCUUACUUUGUCAACUAAGGUUCUGUUCAUCCUCUCAGCUAGUCCAUUUUGCUGAGGUGUAUAUCUUAUUGUUCUUUGCCUCAUGACUCCAUGCUUACUGCAAAAAUCUUCAAACCUCUUGUUAUAGAAUUCUAAACCAUUAUCAGUUCUAAGUUUCUUAACCUUCAUGCUGGUCUGAGUUUCAAUUAGCGUCUUCUAGGUUUAACCUUCAUGCUGGUCUGAGUUUCAAUUAGCGUCUUCUAGGUUUAACCUUCAUGCUGGUCUGAGUUUCAAUUAGCGUCUUCUAGGUUUUGAAUUGUUCAAACACCUCAUCUUUGUUUUUCAACACAGACACCCACACCAUUCUAGAAUAGUCAUCAAUUAGAGAUAGAAAGUACCUAGCCUCUCCUAAGGAUGCUGUCUGUGCGGGUCCCCACAGAUAAGCAUGAACAUAAUCUAGUGUUCCUCUUGAAACAUGUGCGCCAGUACUGAAUUUAACUCUUGAGGACUUGCCUAGGACACAUUCCUCACAAAAUUCUAGGGACUCUAGUUUGUCUUUACCCAGGACUCCCUAUUUUGAUAGUUCUCUUAAACCUCUCUCACUCAUAUGGCCUAAUCUAAAGUGCCACAACAAGGUUUUGUUUAGAUUCUGGUUUGAGACUCCAACAUCUCCUGUGAUCACAGACCCUUGAAGAACAUACAGGCCAUUAUCUAAGUUUCCUUUAAUCAAUACCAUUGAUAAGCAUAAUUUAUAUACAUAUUUUAUCCUUUAUUAUAUAAUUGCUAGUUAUUUUUAUUUGUUAUUUUUAAUUAAUUACAUUAUUUUAUUGAAUAGGAAAUUGGUUUGAGAUUAUGGGUAAAAAGGGCAUAAAAGAGCUCAAUUUUGGAAGCAUUAAAGAUUAAUUGAUGUUUGGAAGGAAUUAGACAUACAUGCAUGUGGAAAUCAAGCCAAGGAACCAAAUUCAACAAGUUAAUUCAUCAUGCACAUGUAGACAAAAGAGAGAAAUUGAUUUUAGCUUUAAGAAAUGACCCGUACUUGGCUUUCAUAAAUGGAAAAAAGGAAACCUAUUGCAAUUCAAAGUGCCCAACACGUGAGUGAAGCAAAACAAAUAAAAGGGCAAAACUUUUUGGCUUUAGAAUUGAUAAGAUGGGGCCCAUUUUAAAGGCUAUAUAAGAAAACUAAGCUUUUGGCUUUUGGAGGAGGGAGCAGCCAUUAGGGGACGAAAACAAAAGGGAGGACGCGAGACAGAGAGAAUAAAGCAGCGGAAGCAGCUCUUAAAUUUUCCCAUGGCUGAUUUUAUUUCUUUUGUUGCUCCUAAUUCAAGUAUGUCUACCUAAUUUUCUUAUACUGAGGUUAAGGAUGAAGCCCUAUUUAAUGAAAUAAUUAUCUUUUUAUUUAAUUAAUUCCCUACAUGUGUGCUUUAAUGAUUAUGAUUUUUGUUUCAGAUGAUUAGUUGGAUGUUAUUAAAUCUUUUCACCAAUUCUAUCAUGCAUUAUUUAUUGUUAUGAUUAAUAUUUGACUAAAUCUAUGCUUGGAUCUAUAAAGUUUAUACAUGAUUAUCUUUGAUUUUAUGUCUUUCAUUAAAUUGUUUACAUAGAGUGCUUAGGAAAACUUUGACUCUUUGUUAUUCAAUAUGUUUACAUGAGAUUCUUAGAUAUCAUACUAUUAAGUAGAAAAAGAACCUAUAUUAGAUUUAAUUACUUGGGCUUAGUUGUUAUAUUCAUGAGAUGAUAUAGAUUGAUUUCGAGUGGUCACACUAAAAUUAGGGAUUAAUUAAUAUUUAGAUAAUUACUAGUGUAAUAGUGGUGGAUUCUGAAACAUUGGUAACUUUUGUCCUAUUGAAUUCUCCUUUGCUUUAAUUAUUUUCUAAGUUUAAUUGGUUUAAUUUUAUUAGAAACUCAAUUUGCUCAACUAGGUUAGAAUUACUAUUAAUUUUAAAUUUAAAUUAGACUUUUCAGCAAUCCCUGUGGGUUCGACCUCGUUACCACUAUUUUAUUUCUAGAUUCGUGCGCUUGUGAGUAUAUUAAAAUUUUCACAACAAAUUUUUGGCGCCGUUGCCGGGGAUUGUGUCAAAAAGUCAGUGUAAUCUAGGUUGAUUUAAUUCUUCCACUAGUUAUAACUUAGGUUGUCUUUUAUU
This 6109-nucleotide long non-coding RNA is filed under the name Citrus x clementina. RNAcentral's name for it is "Citrus clementina (C. clementina) long non-coding RNA (CCLE_LNC001798)". The record is from RNAcentral. Lineage: Eukaryota; Viridiplantae; Streptophyta; Magnoliopsida; Sapindales; Rutaceae.